UUGAGCUUGGCCUUUGAUCCU
RNAcentral lists this microRNA (21 nucleotides) under Picea abies (Norway spruce). Its description in RNAcentral is "pab-miR11565". The record is from miRBase by way of RNAcentral. Lineage: Eukaryota; Viridiplantae; Streptophyta; Pinopsida; Pinales; Pinaceae.